GGGCCUAAAUCCCAUCAGGUAGUUGGUGGGGUAAUGGCCUACCAAGCUUAAGACGGGUAGCUGGUCUGAGAGGAUGGUCAGCCAGACGGGGACUGAGACACGGCCCCGACUCCUACGGGAGGCAGCAGCAAGGAAUCUUGCGCAAUGGGCGAAAGCCUGACGCAGCGACACCGCGUGGGGGAAGACGGCUUUCGGGUUGUAAACCCCUUUUCUUGGUGAAGGGACGGUAGCCAAGGAAUAAGCCUCGGCUAACUACGUGCCAGCAGCCGCGGUAAUACGUAGGAGGCGAGCGUUAUCCGGAUUCACUGGGCGUAAAGAGCGCGUAGGCGGCCUUUUAAGUUGGUGGUGAAAGCUCCUGGCUCAACUGGGAGAGGUCCAUCAAAACUGGGAGGCUUGAGGACAGCAGAGGAGGGUAGAAUUCCCGGUGUAGCGGUGAAAUGCGUAGAU
RNAcentral lists this ribosomal RNA (447 nucleotides) under uncultured bacterium. RNAcentral describes it as "bacterial SSU rRNA". It matches the Rfam family "Bacterial small subunit ribosomal RNA", at positions 227 to 695 of the family's 1533-position model. The record is from RNAcentral.